AGAGGAGCGAACCUGUGAGGGUAAGCGGAUCUCAAAAAAGACCAUCUCAGUUCGGAUUGUGGGCUGCAACCCGCCCACAUGAAGUUGGAGUUGCUAGUAAUCGCGGAUCAGAAUGCCGCGGUGAAUACGUUCCCGGGCCUUGUACACACCGCCCGUCAAGCCAUGGGAGCCGGGGGUGCUUGAAGUGCGUCGCCGCAAGGCGCGCCCUAGAGCAAAACCGGUGACUGGGGCUAAGUCGUAACAAGGUAAC
RNAcentral lists this ribosomal RNA (250 nucleotides) under uncultured bacterium. RNAcentral describes it as "partial 16S ribosomal RNA". It matches the Rfam family "Bacterial small subunit ribosomal RNA", at positions 1243 to 1500 of the family's 1533-position model. The record is from RNAcentral.